This 369-nucleotide ribosomal RNA is filed under the name Triticum aestivum (bread wheat). Its description in RNAcentral is "partial small subunit ribosomal RNA". The record is from RNAcentral. Lineage: Eukaryota; Viridiplantae; Streptophyta; Magnoliopsida; Poales; Poaceae.
AUGGUGUAUAGGUCGCGACGCACAGAUUGCGACGAACAGGGCCACGGUGAACAGGUUCAUGGCAAAGGAUACACAGGCGUACAGGUUUUGCAUCACGCUCUUGGAGGAGACGGCAUGGCAGAACCGGAGCUCGCUGACGACGCAGCCCAAGACUCGCCUUUCCUUUCAGGGCGCAUAGAUUGCGACGGACAAGGCUACGGUGGACAGGUUUAUGGCGAAGGAGACACCGGUGUACAGGUUUUGCGUCACCCUCUUGGAGGGGACGGUGCGGCGGAGCCGGAGCUCGCUGACGGCGCAGCCCGAGACUCGCUUUUCCCAUCACGGCGUACAGGUCCUUUGUGGAACCCAUAUCCGCAACGACGUAUCUAA